UAGUCCACGCAGUAAACGAUGAGUGCUAGUCGCUGGUGCAAUAGUAUCAGUGUCGUAGCUAACGCAUUAAGCACUCCGCCUGGGAAGUACGGCCGCAAGGCUAAAACUCAAAUGAAUUGACGGGGACCCGCACAAGCGGUGGAGCAUGUGGUUUAAUUCGAUGCAACGCGAAAAACCUUACCUACUCUUGACAUACUUGGGAGCUCUUGUAAUGAGAGUGUGCCUUUUGGAACCAAGAUACAGGUGCUGCAUGGCUGUCGUCAGCUCGUGUCGUGAAAUGUUCCGUUAAGUCGGAUAACGAGCGCAACCCUUACCCUUAUUUGCCAGCGAUUCGGUCGGGAACUAUAAGGGGACUGCCGGUGAUAAACCGGAGGAAGGUGAGGACGACGUCAAGUCAUCAUGGGCCCUUACGAGUAGGGGCUACACACGUGCUACAAUGGGGGAAUACAGACGGACGCUAAGCCGCGAGGGUGGGUGGCUAAUCCUAGAAAGUUUC
This 496-nucleotide ribosomal RNA is filed under the name uncultured bacterium. RNAcentral describes it as "bacterial SSU rRNA". It matches the Rfam family "Bacterial small subunit ribosomal RNA", at positions 791 to 1285 of the family's 1533-position model. The record is from RNAcentral.